UACGGAGAAGGCAAGCGUUACCCGGAAUUACUGGGCGUAAAGCGUUGCGUAGGCGGCCCGCUAAGUGAAGUGCGAAACCUCACGGCUCAACCGUGAGCUGGUACUUCAAACUAUCGGGCUAGAGGACAGUAGAGGUGAGUGGAAUUCCUGGUGUAGGAGUGAUAUCCGUAGAUACCAGGAGGAACACCAAAGGCGAAGGCAACUCACUGGACUGAUCCUGACGCUGAGGCACGAAAGCGUAGGGAGCGAACCGG
This 254-nucleotide unclassified non-coding RNA is filed under the name uncultured bacterium. Its description in RNAcentral is "contains 16S-23S intergenic spacer region". It matches the Rfam family "Bacterial small subunit ribosomal RNA", at positions 524 to 776 of the family's 1533-position model. The record is from RNAcentral.